This 598-nucleotide ribosomal RNA is filed under the name uncultured Comamonadaceae bacterium. RNAcentral's name for it is "bacterial SSU rRNA". It matches the Rfam family "Bacterial small subunit ribosomal RNA", at positions 60 to 655 of the family's 1533-position model. The record is from RNAcentral. Lineage: Bacteria; Pseudomonadati; Pseudomonadota; Betaproteobacteria; Burkholderiales; Comamonadaceae.
AGUCGAACGGUAACAGGUCUUCGGAUGCUGACGAGUGGCGAACGGGUGAGUAAUACAUCGGAACGUGCCCGAUCGUGGGGGAUAACGGAGCGAAAGCUUUGCUAAUACCGCAUACGAUCUACGGAUGAAAGCGGGGGAUCUUCGGACCUCGCGCGGACGGAGCGGCCGAUGGCAGAUUAGGUAGUUGGUGGGAUAAAAGCUUACCAAGCCGACGAUCUGUAUCUGGUCUGAGAGGAUGAUCAGCCACACUGGGACUGAGACACGGCCCAGACUCCUACGGGAGGCAGCAGUGGGGAAUUUUGGACAAUGGGCGAAAGCCUGAUCCAGCCAUGCCGCGUGCAGGAUGAAGGCCUUCGGGUUGUAAACUGCUUUUGUACGGAACGAAAAGCCUCUUUCUAAUAAAGAGGGGUCAUGACGGUACCGUAAGAAUAAGCACCGGCUAACUACGUGCCAGCAGCCGCGGUAAUACGUAGGGUGCAAGCGUUAAUCGGAAUUACUGGGCGUAAAGCGUGCGCAGGCGGUUUUGUAAGACAGAGGUGAAAUCCCCGGGCUCAACCUGGGAACUGCCUUUGUGACUGCAAGGCUGGAGUGCGGCAGA